This 77-nucleotide transfer RNA is filed under the name candidate division WWE3 bacterium CG08_land_8_20_14_0_20_43_13. RNAcentral's name for it is "tRNA-Trp". It matches the Rfam family "tRNA". Rfam says of the family: Transfer RNA (tRNA) molecules are approximately 80 nucleotides in length. Their secondary structure includes four short double-helical elements and three loops (D, anti-codon, and T loops). Lineage: Bacteria; candidate division WWE3. The record is from RNAcentral.
GCCGGGGUAGCUCAGUCCGGAAGAGCAACGGUCUCCAAAACCGUGAGCCGCAGGUUCAAAUCCUGUCCCCGGUGCCA